UACGGAGGGUGCGAGCGUUAUCCGGAAUUACUGGGUUUAAAGGGUGCGUAGGCGGGAUAUUAAGUCUAAGGUGAAAGUCUGUAGCUUAACUAUAGAAUUGCCUUAGAUACUGAUAUUCUUGAAUUGGAUUGAGGAUGGCGGAAUGUGACAUGUAGCGGUGAAAUGCAUAGAUAUGUCAUAGAACACCAAUUGCGAAGGCAGCUAUCUGGGUCUUGAUUGACGCUGAGGCACGAAAGCGUGGGGAUCGAACAGG
Molecule: ribosomal RNA, 253 nt
Filed under: uncultured bacterium
Lineage: Bacteria
Description: partial 16S ribosomal RNA
Rfam family: Bacterial small subunit ribosomal RNA
Source: RNAcentral